CGGGUGAGUAACGCGUGGGUAACCUGCCUCACACAGGGGGAUAACAGUUAGAAAUGACUGCUAAUACCGCAUAACCCGAUAGGAUCGCAUGAUCCAGACGGAAAAGAUUUAUCGGUGUGAGAUGGACCCGUGUCUGAUUAGCUAGUUGGUGAGGUAACGGCCCACCAAGGCGACGAUCGGUAGCCGGCCUGAGAGGGUGAACGGCCACAUUGGGACUGAGACACGGCCCAA
RNAcentral lists this ribosomal RNA (231 nucleotides) under uncultured bacterium. Its description in RNAcentral is "partial 16S ribosomal RNA". It matches the Rfam family "Bacterial small subunit ribosomal RNA", at positions 103 to 334 of the family's 1533-position model. The record is from RNAcentral.